RNA transcript from Nycticebus coucang (slow loris), 1985 nucleotides. It is a transcript of the gene named protein regulator of cytokinesis 1-like, with no coding region annotated. NCBI's taxonomy places the organism in Eukaryota, Metazoa, Chordata, Mammalia, Primates, Lorisidae. The transcript is spliced from 3 exons. The record is from RefSeq and is a predicted model, not a curated record.
AUGCGGGAAAAUAUGCAAGAAAGAAUAGCUCAGAGAACCCUGGCAAAGAACAGUAUGGGCAGUGCCUGGAGGUGGGAGAUACAGGGAGGGCAGACAGGUCUGGACAGUAAAGUCAAACUAAUAGGGUCAUGUAAAAAGGACGUAGUAAUCAUUAAAGGACCACUGACCAAAGCAUCAGAUUCUAAUAUCAAUGGGAAUGACCGUAGUGGGUUGAAACACAGAGAAUAUGUAAAAACCUAUGAGUUCCUGCUGGAAACGCAAAAGUCACAAAAUGAGACAGUGUGUGAAGGACUCCAUGCUAAAAUCUGAGAGCUCUGGGACAGGUUGCAGAUACCUGAAGAAGAGAGAGAAGCUGUGGCCAUGGUUAUGACUGGGUCAAAGGCCAAGGUCAGAAAAGUGCUACAAUUAGAGGUGGAUUGGUUGGAAGAACUGAAAAUGCAAAACAUGAAGAAAGUGAUUGAGGCAAUACGGGUGGAGCUGGCUGAGUACUGGGAUCGGUGUUUUUACAGCCAGGAGCAGAGACAGGAUUUUGCCCCUUACUACACUGAGGACUUCACAGAAGAUCUGCUCCAGAGCCAUGAUGCUGAGGUUGUGAAGUUAAAAGAUUAUUAUGAGACUCAUAAGGAGCUCUUUGAAGGUGUUCAGAAGUGGGAAGAAAGCUGGAAGCUUUUCUUAGAGUUUGAGAGAAAAGCUUCAGAUCCAAGUCGAUUUACAAACCGGGGAGGAAAUCUUCUAAAAGAAGAAAAGCAAUGAGCAAAACUCCAGAAAACACUACCUAAGCUGGAAGAGGAGUUGAAGGCACAAAUUGAAAUGUGGGAACAGGAACACUCUAAGGCAUUUGUGGUGAAUGGGCAAAAAUUCAUGGAGUAUGUGACGGAGCAAUGGGAGAUGCAUCGAUUAGAGAAAGAGAGAGCCAAGCAGGAAAGACAACUCAAGAACAAGAAGCAGACAGAAACAGAGAUGCUCUAUGGGAGUGCCCCCCAAACACCCAGCAAGCGGCGAGGACUGACACCCAACACGCCAGGCAAAGUGCGCAAGCUGAAUACUACCACCAUCUCCAAUGCUACAGCCAAUAGCAGCAUUCAGCCUGUCUUUGGGGGGACAAUCUGCCGCUCCCCUGUGUCUCGACUUCCUCCUUCUGGCAGCAAGCCAGUUGCCACUUCCACCUGUUCAGGGAAGAAAACACCCCGUGCUGGGAGGCAUGGGGCUGACAAGGAGAACCUGGAGCUCAAUGGCAGUAUCCUGAGCAGUGGGUACCGUGACUCGACCCACCUCCAGCACAACCUCAGCAUUAAUUCCAUUGCCAGCACCUAUUCUGAGUUUGCGCAAGAACUUUCAAAGGCUUCCAAAUCUGACGCUGCUUCUCGAGUCCUCAAUUCAACCAACAUCCAGUCCUGAGAAGUCCUGAAGUCAACUAGCUGUGGCUUCCGUUGCCCAGACUGCACCUCAUUAUGUAGGAGGGUGGCUUUAGUUUUUCAGCAGUUUAGGUGUGCUUGAAACCCUGGACAGCUUCCAUGACCAUGGGCCUAAUUUGAAGAUGCAGACGAGUGGUACAGAUGAAAGUCCAUCAUAGAUUUAGUGGGUCCUGGGAGACUUAUUUUUAUUUUGACUCACGUUAAAACUUAGUGCAAAUUUUAGCAUAUGGGACCUGAUUUCUUCCUCUACCCCUUAAUUCUACUUGCUGAAACAUAAUCAGGGGAUUUUUUUAUUUCACCGUUGUGUAGGAAAAUGGUUAACUGUGCCCAUCCUUGGGGUAUAGGACUUGAAGUAAUUUGGGCUUAUCAUUAGCAAUUAACUCCUUUUUUGUUUAGGGAUGUUCAAGUAAUGCUUAGCUAUGAUAGUUUUGCUCUCACCUGAAGCCCUGUCCACACCACACAGGACAGUCUUCCUCUUUAUGAGAACGUCUGUGUGUCAGAAGUUAAGAUGGCCUGACCUGCCAAAGAGGUGACAGGGAGGAUGGGAGCUCCUUUGUUAAAUUGUAUACA